Molecule: small nuclear RNA, 153 nt
Organism: Rattus norvegicus (Norway rat)
Lineage: Eukaryota; Metazoa; Chordata; Mammalia; Rodentia; Muridae
Product: U1 spliceosomal RNA
Source: Ensembl
AUAAUAACCUGGCAGGGGAGAUACCAUGACCACAAAGGUGAUUUUCACAGGGUGAGGCACUCUGAUGUGCUGACCCCUGUGAUUUCCCCAAAUGCAGGAAACUCGACUGUAUAAUUUGUGGUAGUGGGGGAGCUGUGUUCGCAUGCUCCCUGG